CCACCCGCCCCACCUGCCCCGCCGGCCCUCGCCGGCCUGCACCUGGUAGCGCGGCGGCCGAUAGAGCAGCAGCAGCAGCGCGUUGAGCCCCGCCACGUAGAGCGCCAGCCCGGUGCGGCCCUGCAGGCCGGCGCGCGGUCUCACUUUGUACCCCAGGCCAGAGUGUGGCAGCCUGUAACUCCUGGGCCCAAGCGAUCCUCUUCUCUCUCAGCCUCCCAAAGCACUGGAAUUACAGGUCCUGGCAGGAGCUCUGGUAUCUGGGAAGCUGGAUGGAGAGCCUGGAUUGGAGCCCACCCUCUGCAACCUAGCUUUGUGACCUUGGCAAAUCCAUUCUAUGCACCUCUGUUUCCUGUACAGUGGGGACCUGAUUUAUCUGGCAACCUCCACCAGAUUGAUGGAGUUUUGCUCUUGUUGCCCAGGCUGGAGUGCAGUGGCGAAAUCUUGGCUCACCGCAACCCCGGAUUCCCAGGUUCAAGGCAUUCUCUCACCUCAGCCUCCUGAGUAGUUGGGAUUACAGGCAUGCACCACCAUGCCUGGCUAAUUUUGUAUUUUUAGUAGAGAUGGGAUUUCUCCACCUCGAUCAGGCUUGUCUCAAACUCGCGACCUCAGAUGA
Long non-coding RNA from Callithrix jacchus (white-tufted-ear marmoset), 613 nucleotides. RefSeq lists it as uncharacterized. Lineage: Eukaryota; Metazoa; Chordata; Mammalia; Primates; Cebidae. The record is from RefSeq and is a predicted model, not a curated record.